Molecule: ribosomal RNA, 468 nt
Filed under: uncultured bacterium
Lineage: Bacteria
Description: partial 16S ribosomal RNA
Rfam family: Bacterial small subunit ribosomal RNA
Source: RNAcentral
GACGAACGCUGGCGGCGUGCUUAACACAUGCAAGUCGAACGGAAAGGCCCUUCUUGGGGGGGGUGCUCGAGUGGCGAACGGGUGAGUAGCACGUGAGUAACCUUCCCUUGACUUUGGGAUAACUUCAGGAAGCUGGGGCUCAUACCGGAUAUGAGCUCCUGCUGCAUGGUGGGGGUUGGAAAGGUUGGGCGGUUGGGGAUGGACUGGCGGCUUAUCAGCUUGUGGGUGGGGUAGUGGCUUACGAAGGCUUGGACGGGUAGCCGGCCUGAGAGGCUGACCGGCACAAUGGGGCUGGGGAACCGGCCAAGCCUCCUCGGGGGGGAAGAAGUGGGGAAUAUUGCAAAAGGGGCGGAAGCCUAAUGCAGAAACGCCGGGUGGGGGAUGAGGCCUUCCGGGUUGUAACCCGUUUUCGCCUGUGACGAAGUGUGAGUGACGGUACCGGGUAAAGAAGCACCGGCUAACUACGUG